Molecule: ribosomal RNA, 501 nt
Filed under: uncultured bacterium
Lineage: Bacteria
Description: partial 16S ribosomal RNA
Rfam family: Bacterial small subunit ribosomal RNA
Source: RNAcentral
AUUGAACGCUGACGGCAGGCUUAACACAUGCAAGUCGAGCGGGGGAAGGUAGCUUGCUACCGGACCUAGCGGCGGACGGGUGAGUAAUGCUUAGGAAUCUGCCUAUUAGUGGGGGACAACAUCUCGAAAGGGAUGCUAAUACCGCAUACGUCCUACGGGAGAAAGCAGGGGAUCUUUGGACCCUGCGCUAAUAGAUGAGCCUAAGUCGGAUUAGCUAGUUGGUGGGGUAAAGGCCUACCAAGGCGACGAUGUGUAGCGGGUCUGAGAGGAUGAUCCGCCACACUGGGACUGAGACAAGGCCCAGACUCAUACGGGAGGAAGCAGUGGGGAAUAUUGGACAAUGGGGGGAACCCUGAUCCAGCCAUGCCGCGUGUGUGAAGAAGGCCUUAUGGUUGUAAAGCACUUUAAGCGAGGAGGAGGCUACUUUAGUUAAUACCUAGAGAUAGUGGACGUUACUCGCAGAAUAAGCACCGGCUAACUCUGUGCCAGCCGCCGCGGUAA